Coniella lustricola is the source of this 107-nucleotide non-coding RNA. The record is from the annotation of a GenBank genome assembly. Lineage: Eukaryota; Fungi; Ascomycota; Sordariomycetes; Diaporthales; Schizoparmaceae.
GCCCGGCUAGCUCAAUUGGUAGAGCGUGAGACUUUUACAAGGUCUCCGAUUCUGGAACAUAUGAUCGUGUGAUCUCAAGGCUGUGGGUUCGAGCCCCACGUCGGGCG